Molecule: long non-coding RNA, 310 nt
Organism: Hypanus sabinus (Atlantic stingray)
Lineage: Eukaryota; Metazoa; Chordata; Chondrichthyes; Myliobatiformes; Dasyatidae
Exons: 3
Source: RefSeq, a predicted model, not a curated record
ACGGCUACUUCCUCUCGCUGAGCUGAGAGACACAGAGGAACCUCGACAGGAGAACUGAGCGAUUCUUCCAUCAAUGCCAAGAUGGAAUCACGGUCUCCAUCCAGAGCUGCGCAUGAACAGGAGCCGAGACAUAGACCGUGCCGUAAGAUCUGCCUACUCUGCCUCGUUACGUCCGUUUUCGUCGCGAUAGUUGCCGGGCUCUCGAUCCAUGUGUUACAGAUCCGUCAGUCUCUGCUCGUCUCUGACCAAAAGUACCUGAGACUUUGGGAGCAACAUCAGGAGAUGAACAGGACCCAGUGCCAGUGUCCAG